This 1139-nucleotide long non-coding RNA is filed under the name Junco hyemalis (dark-eyed junco). RNAcentral describes it as "lncRNA (ENSJHYG00000002371.1)". Lineage: Eukaryota; Metazoa; Chordata; Aves; Passeriformes; Passerellidae. The record is from RNAcentral.
CUCCCCAGCCUCCCCGACUCCACCGACCAACCCGCUGUCGUCCGAGCCGCCCCGGGCCGACAGCAGCCACCUCAUGCGGGUGUGAGCCUGUGACCUCAAGCCCUGGCAGCUGCUGGCGCCACCAAGUUCCACGGGGCCACGUUUUAGGCCCCUCCUGAGGUGACACCGAAGCUCUCGCCACCGUCCUCGGUUCUCCCGGACCCCCUUCCCUCCCUCCGGCGGCGACAGCAGCGGGAGAGGUGGCACCGACGGGAGGCACGUCCCAAGGAGACGGGCAGGGGGCUGGCAUUGUCCCCAAGGAGCCACCAGGGCUGUCAGUGGACAUAGGGACACACCCAGACAGUGGCCACAGGGACACAGCUGUGACAGUGGCCACAGGGACACAACCGGACAGCUGUGACAGUGGCCAUAGGGACGCAGCUGUGACAGCGGCCACCAGGAUACACCUGGACAGCUGUGACAGUGGCCAUCGACCCCUGGUGAGCACAGGACUCCUGGGAUGGCCCCCAAGGUCUGUGAAGGGGCUCUUGGGGUGGGGACCCGCCUGUCCCCACCACGGAUGGUGCUGCCACCUCCCAGCGGACCUGGCUGCUCCCUCUGGGCUCCUCGGGCGCCGUUUCUGCUCCCUCAGCUCUGACCCUGAUUUUGGAGCCCAUCUGUGUCACCCCCGGUGGCUCAGCUGGAGGGAGAGGGGACAGGACAGAUGGAGGUGGCACUGGGGGACACGGAGGUGCCCGGGGCGCUCCAAGCUCGGAGCAGGAGCUCUGGGGGCAGAGCAGGGAAUUGGGGUGCCAGGUGGGAUAAUGGAGCUGUGGGGUCAGCAGGGACCCCUCUGGAGGGUGGGGACGGUGCUGAGGAGGGGUUUGGGGACAGAGGUGUCACCUGCUGUCACCCUCCAAAAAUCCCUUCCAGCAGCUCUCCAGCCCCUUCCAGCGGUUCAGAUUUCCUGUAGCAAAUUCCCCCUUUUCUUUAUCAUCCCAGAGAGUGGGAAAGAAGCAGAAUCCCUGGAAGGAUGUGAGCAUGGCAGGGGCCAGGAGCUGGAUCUCAAAUCCCAAAUCUCCAACCCCAAAUCCCAAUCCAUCCCUCCUGGCCCCAUCCCAAACCCCCAGGACCCUCCCUGCAUCCCAAUCCCAACUUAG